This 99-nucleotide ribosomal RNA is filed under the name Chordata environmental sample. Its description in RNAcentral is "partial 12S ribosomal RNA". The record is from RNAcentral. Lineage: Eukaryota; Metazoa; Chordata.
GCUUAGCCCUAAACACAGAUAAUUACAUAAACAAAUUAUUUGCCAGAGUACUACCAGCAACAGCUAACUCAAAGGACUUGGCGGUGCUUUAUAUUCCUU